RNAcentral lists this transfer RNA (87 nucleotides) under Puccinia triticina 1-1 BBBD Race 1. Its description in RNAcentral is "tRNA-Ala (AGC) (tRNA-Ala-AGC-6-1)". It matches the Rfam family "tRNA". From Rfam's summary of the family: Transfer RNA (tRNA) molecules are approximately 80 nucleotides in length. Lineage: Eukaryota; Fungi; Basidiomycota; Pucciniomycetes; Pucciniales; Pucciniaceae. The record is from RNAcentral.
GCGUCUGUAGCCUAGUUGGUAAAGGCAGCACUCUAGCUAUGUGUCUCAGCAUAGCUGAGGUCGUGAGUUCAACUCUCACCAGACACA